AACUGAUACUACCUGCGGGAACCUGCGGAGGGAUCAUUACCGAAGUUACUCUUCAUCAAACCCUUAUGUGAACUCUACCUCUCGCCGCGCGGUUGCCUCGGCGGGGAGGUCUGGGGGCGCCGUGGGGAAGGCCGUCCGCGGCUUUUCCCCGGCCCGCCCCGGGCCCCCCCCGCCGGCCGCGCCCAACUCUUCUUCUGCAAAGCGGACUGCAUGUUCUGAUUACACUUAAAAAAACAAGUC
Molecule: unclassified non-coding RNA, 240 nt
Filed under: soil metagenome
Description: partial contains 5.8S ribosomal RNA, internal transcribed spacer 2, and large subunit ribosomal RNA
Source: RNAcentral